CGGUCGCUUCCGAACUCGCUGCACUGGAGGACGCAAGGUUCGGUCCUGCCUGAUUUCGUUGCGUGCGGAGACCGCCGUCGCGGCUCAGAACCGGAGCGUGGGCUAGUCUGAACACUACCCUGACUCUCACCUGGGCUUUGGCCCUGCGAAAUCAGACGGGGAGAGUGCUGCUUCUAUCGAUGGCAGCAGGGCCGACGGGCCCACCGCAAAGAACACAGGGAUGAGCGUCAAGGAUGGGAGAAGGGGAGAUCCAGAGAACCUGACGCGGGCCCUAAUUGAUAGUGUUCUUUUCUUUAGUAGCUGUAGCUAGGAUUCUGUGUCUUCGGUGCCAGAGGGGCCCGCUUCCCUUCCCUGAACUCUUCCAGCGUCGGGAAGUCCCUGAUACCAGGCGCCAGGGGUCCAAAUGUUUUAUGCCAAUACUGUAAAACCUCAAGUGUUUGGACACCUGCUUUAUUCUUUUCUUCACCGAAAUCGUGUAUUUCACGAAUUCAUUCAAAAACCUUUAUCAGGCCUUGGAGAUGUUAAAAGAAUUUACAGCCUAGUGGAAGACACAGAUUCCUAAUUAGUCCAAAUUUACUCCUAACACCUGCAAUCAUCCUACAAGAUCUUAAUGUUUAUGUGCCUCAUUUAUCUAAAACCCUGAACUUUGGCUGCCUGUGAAUCCUCAGGUCCAUUUCAGCAACCCACUUUUGCAUGCUGUACCUUUGAUAUCAUCUGAAACUGCUUACAUUGUCUCCGGUAUCAGAAUCUAACAGUAUAUGCUGAUCUCCACGUUCUAGCAAAUUUUGUUUACCAGCAAUAAUAGGAGCAACCUGCUCUCGAGAGUCCAUAUUCUGAUCCCUAAAUGUAUUAGAGCCACAGUGGGGCCUGGAACACUGCCUUAACACCUGGGCUAAGUCCUCUUAUAUCUCGUAGUGAACACCUUAUGUAUGUAAGGUGUCCCCAGCCCCCGGGCCACAAACGGGUACCAGCCCAUGGCCUGUUAGGAACCGGGCUACACAGCAAGAAGUGAAUCUCUGGCAAGCCAGGGAAGCUUAAUCUGUAUUUACAGCUGCUCCCCAUGGUUCACAUUAUCGUCUGAGCUCCACCUCCUGUCAGAUCAGCUGUGGCAUGAGAUUCUCAUAGGAGCUGGAACUACUGUGAACUAGGCAUGAGAGGGAUCUAGGUUAUGCUCCUUAUGAGAAUCUAAUGCCUGAUGAUCUGUCACUGUCUCCCAUCACCCCCAGAUGGGACCAUCUAGUUGCAGGAAAAUAAGCUCAGGGCUCCCACCGAUUCUACAUUAUGGUGAGUUGUGUAAUUGUUUCAUUAUAUAUUACAAUGCAAUAAUAAUAGAAAUAAAGGGCACAAUAAAUAUAAUGCACUUGAAUCGUCCAAAACCAUCCUUCCCCAUCCACCUAGCCCCCACCCCCAGGAAAAAAUUGUCUUCCAUGAAACAGGUCCCUGGCACCCAAAAGAUUGGGGACCACUGCCUUAUAUAGUUACUGAGAGUUUUUUCUGGGCUUUUUUGUUUUGUUUUGUUUUGUUUUUCAGGAGUACUUAACUCUCAGCCGGGUACAGUGGCUCAUAUCUGUAAUCCCAGCACUUUAGGAGGCCGAGGCGGACAGAUCAUUUGAGGUCAGGAGUUCGAGACCAGCCUGGCCAUCGUGGUGAAACCCGGUCUCCACUAAAAAUACAAAAAUUAGCUGGGUCUGGUGGUACAUGCCUGUAAUCCAAGCUAAUCGGGAGAUUGAGGCAGGAGAAUUGCUUGAACCCAGGAGGCGGAGGCUGCAGUGAGCUGAGGUCGUGCCACUACCCUCCAACCUGGGAGACAGAGUGAGACUCCAUCUCAAAAUAAAAAUAAAAAGAGUACUUAACUCUCAACUGACGGAAGUUCAAUAGGCCUUCAACUGCUUUCAGCUCCAGAUGCCCAAUAUACAUCUUCCCCCCAAUUUUCACAAUUUUGCAUCAAAGUUUGUCAAUUUUAUAUGUAUACAUAUAUAUGCAUAUAUCUGUGUUUGUACAUAUAUGUGGGCCCUAUCAAAGCCAACUAUUCUAAAUAAUAAAUAAAAAGGAUCCAAGAUAUCACUUAGAGAAAGACAUCAGAAGAGUGCUAAUUAUGUGAAAAGGGAUAGCUUUGCCAGGACACAAAAAAGGAGACAGGGUUGAAACCCUUCAUCACAUGUAACACAAUGUUGUUAAAACAUUAAACCUCCUCACAGCCACAUUCUGCUUCAGGUCUCUGCAAAUUAACAUUCUUUCAGUCGGAAAGAGCAGUCUUUCUGACUGCUCUUAAACCUAGAAAUUACUCAAUUCUUCAGCUCCUCUGGGUGGCACAAAUUUGGAUGCAAAUCACCUUUUGUAGUCUCAGGCUUUGGCCCACUUCUCAGAAUUCUGCACCAAUCCAGCUGAAGCACACGGCCUGCCCCCGUUUUCUGUUAGUAAUUUGAACUCAUUUCCUA
This 2438-nucleotide long non-coding RNA is filed under the name Homo sapiens (human). RNAcentral's name for it is "non-protein coding lnc-LRRFIP2-3:4". Lineage: Eukaryota; Metazoa; Chordata; Mammalia; Primates; Hominidae. The record is from RNAcentral.